UUGUGUUGCUCUGAAUCCCAGCAGCUUUACUCGGUCUCUGCAUUGUCUUUGUGGAAGAGAAGUGCAGAGUGGCCCGAAGCAGGCCUGCACAGUCCUGGCAAUCAGGAAGAGACUUCAUUCUAAUCUCUGCUUCCAUGAUUUCUUUCAAACCUUUUGUGUCUACAUCUUCUUGGCAGGGGCUCUUGUUUGGCAGGUGUUGAGAACUAUGGGUUCUCUCGGAAGACAAUACACAGAAGAUCACCGGGUGAUUUUUUUUCCUUGACAUAUAAAUGGCUUUGUCAUUCUGUCCACAGUCAUGAAUGCAAAAAACAGCUGCCAAGAACAGCUCAGGUGACUGUACGAAGACUUGACAUAAUGGGAGUGUUCCACCCACGACUGCACAGGAGAGUCCACUGUGCAUGCCACCCCCCCAAUAGUACACACAGAGCAGAGAAGUGGGGUCAGCAUGUGAACUCUGCCACAUGGUUAUGGCUUAUGGAUCUGCAGUAUUUUCAUGAGCUGAGUCACACAUUUCCCCUGACUUUCAAGACAAUGAGAGACACUAGCGCAAAAUAAGCACUGCCAUCCCAGGGCACAGUGAAGGCGCUCGGUGUGGGUGGGUGGGUGCAGAACUCUUCUUGGCUAUGCCAAGGGACAUGUACACUUGUGAUCAAGUCUGUCUGUCAGUGGCAACAAGGGAGAAACAGCGGGAUAUCCAACUGAUGUGAAGCAGAGUGUUUCUUACUCACGCAAUAAGAAAAGGCCCCUCCCUAUCCUGCCUGCCCGUCAAGAAGGAGGGCUGCCAGGAGGACAGCUCUAUCUCAGAAUCAAGAUCAGAAGCAGAAGGUUGUCUAAAAGACUCUGGUCCAAGGGCUGAAGGAUGCAACCAGGCUUCUGGUAAGUGUAGUGGGUAGCCAUUCCAGCUUUGAUCUGGAAGUUCCAACCCCCACUGAGGCUUCGGUAGUUGUCAAGCCUACAAGGCGGGUCCGAGAGAGGACCCUGAAGACCUGAGAUCGGGAUGGGCCAGUUCUCUCGGUUCCUGGACCCUGGACACUGGAGGUAGACCGAGCAGAGUUCUCCAGAGAACACCACUGGACUGCACUACA
Peromyscus maniculatus bairdii (prairie deer mouse) is the source of this 1085-nucleotide long non-coding RNA. RefSeq lists it as uncharacterized. NCBI's taxonomy places the organism in Eukaryota, Metazoa, Chordata, Mammalia, Rodentia, Cricetidae. The record is from RefSeq and is a predicted model, not a curated record.